Long non-coding RNA from Brassica rapa (field mustard), 308 nucleotides. RefSeq lists it as uncharacterized. The record is from RefSeq and is a predicted model, not a curated record. NCBI's taxonomy places the organism in Eukaryota, Viridiplantae, Streptophyta, Magnoliopsida, Brassicales, Brassicaceae.
GUAUAUAUGCAUAUAACAGAUUGAAUUAGAUAAUCUGUUCCUAAAAAAUAUUGGUAUUUGUGAUUUGCUUCUUUUUUGGAUAUUGUAUUUUAGUAUUUGAUUUGUUUCGUAGAGUUACAGAUAUCCAAAUUUUUUGGUUCAGAUCAAAACGGAUAACGAAUCGAAUCAAAAUAUAUAAAUAUUUUGCUCAAUUGUAUCCAUUAACAAUAAAAAUAAUAUAUAUAGUUUGGCUUUUGAUUCGUUAUCUAUUUUUAUUCAAACAGAAAAAUCUAGAGUUUUAUUGGAAUCAUGCAUGUGAGUUUUAUAUU